GGAACAGGGACCGAGCAACAGGAGCUCACCCCGUUGCAGGGAUUUGAACCGCCGACCUUCUGAUCGGCAAGUCCUAGGUUCUGUGGUUUAACCCACAGCGCCACCCAAUAGCAGGAAAAAUACAAGGUAGCUACACCACUCUCAUUUCACAGAAAUUGCACACAAGGUAGUACAUUUUGCCCCGUGAGGUUCUAUCUAGGAGGGCUAGAAACUUUUUUUAAACAAAAGAAAGCUCAGAGUCAUAGGUGCCACAUAGGUUCAGGGGUGCCACAGCGCCUGUGGAUGUUAGCUUGCUUGCCACUGGUUUAGUCAGUGCUGAGCUAGAUGUACCAAUGGUCUAAUCCAUUAUAAAGCAGCUUGCUCUGUUCCCACAAGCCAGGCCAUCCUUAUGCUUCAAUCUUGAUUUUGUCCGCACAGACCUGAGCAAAAUAACCCGUUUUGGGAGGCAGGUAAUAGCUGUGCUUCUGUAACUUUUGUUUUGCACAUAAAACAAGCCGCCUUAUGUGUAAAACACCAAUUUCAGGUUGAAAAGUGUUGUUAAUUGCUUGGGGCACAAAGCUUAACAUGUUAAAUUGUAGUACCUCUUGGUUUCAGCUGGCUACUUCUUAGAAGAACAGAACAAGCAUAUUACACAUCUGUUGUGCUUGGAAGAUUUGCUUGUCGCAGAAACUCUCUUUCAAAAACUAAGGGUCUGUGAAACAAGCGCUAGAUGUUGUUUCUCCAGACUUGUUUUAAUUUAUUUGCUGUAAAAAAAAAUUAUCCUGCCUUUCCUCCUAUGAGCAAAAGGCAACACACCUGGUUCUCUCUCCCAAUCCCAAUUUUAUCCUGACAACAACUCUGCAAGGUAGCUUAAACCAAGACAGAAUCCUAGAAUCAUGGAGUUGGAAGGGACCCCAAGGGUCAUCUAGUCCCACCCCUGCAAUGCACUGACCACAGCUAAAGAAUCCCUGAUUGAUGGCCAUGCAACUUCUAUUUUAAAACCUCCAAUAAAAGAGAUUCCACCACCUUCCAAGGCAGCCCAUCCUGCUGUCAAAAAGCUCUUACUACCAGAAAGUUCUUCCUAAUGUUUUGUUGGAAUCUGUUGUCUUACUCAUGGUUUCAGGUUCUACCUUGUGUUUUCAUUUUGUAUUUUUAUGUUGUGAACUGCCCAGUGAUCUGCAGAUGAAGGGUGGUAUACAAAUUUUAAUAAUAAUAAUACCACCACCCUCUGGAGCAGCAGAAAUCAAGCUUGCUCCACCUGCCAUGUGACAGCCCUUCAGAUAUUCGAAGAUGGACUCUGAUCAUGCUUAUCUGGCUGGAGGAUAGACAGAGGUGCACGUAAAAAUUAGACUAUGUAGAAAGACAAUAUUCGUAUUCAUUGCUCUGCCAACUUUUGCCUGUGGCCCCAGCCAUCCAUGGCAUGUGGACCCCAGAAGAUUAACCAGAAGGGAAUGUGGCCCCCAGACGGAACAAGUUCUCUAGCCCAAGUGCCAGAUAAAGAGGUCAGGAUAGCCCAAGGCUCCCUUCCCCCUGCUGCAAGCCAUUGUAAGAAAACUGUCUCUAGAUUCUUUAAUCCUGCCUCUCUCUCAACAGUUUUUGAAACCUUCAAUGCCAAAUAGGAACAUUUGAGAGCUCUAUGGGGCUUCUUACUCCUCCUCGAGAUAUUUUGGAUCGCACCAUCUUGGAGUAGUUAUGUGGUGUCAUAAAUCACAAGUAGGGCAUGGAUUUUCUAUAUGAAUUCAGCCUUGUGAAGCCAGCUCACUUUGGAGGUUAGAAAUAAAGAACCCAAAGCCAGAUGUGCAUAUAAAUCCACAUAUGUGCUCCUUUCAUUUUUCACAUUUGUUGUUUAAAGGCAAGGGUGUUUAGCUUAGGGAUCUACAGCAGAGCUUAACAGUUCUGUUGUUGUUUUUUGAACACACACACAAUUUUUUGUUUGACCUUAAAGGGAGCAUUAUGAUGUUCAGUAAAUAGCUUGUUUGCUUUGUACAGGAAUGAUUUGUAACAUCCAUGGUUUUCUCCAAACAAUUUGUUUUUACACCAUGAGAUUUAGUGUCAGGGACUUAGAAAAUGGAAUUGUUUUAUGAGCACAGAGCAAUCACUCUAGGGCAUGCUUAUUUCACAAAAUAAUACCCCCUCCCUGCUCUUUUCUUCCAAAUCUUACCUUCUUGGAGAAAUGAUAUAUUCACCACACAUGCAGUGCUGGCUGGUCUUAUUAUGGCCAGUGGGGCACUGCCCCACCAACCUCAGUCUACUUCCACCACCUCCCACCCACCCACAGGCCUACCUCCUUACCUAACCAGUCCAGAGGUCAGCACUGCCUGUGAGCUUCCCUCCUCCUUGGUCUUAGUGUUCUCCUUCUAGAACUCCACAGGGAGGAGAAUGGGGAUGCCUGAAAGGAGUGUUACAGGGAGAAUGGCCUAACACCUUGUGGUCAGCUGUGGGUCAAUAGAACUUCUGUUCUCAGACAGGUCAGUAUCAUAUCUGAGAAACAAAGGAGGGCUUUUUACACAGGGAGGUGUGGGGGAAUCCAGAAAAAGGCAAGAGUGUGCCUCAGAAAACAUGUAAGCUCUUAGUGUGGACUGUAGUGCAGUGGUUAGAGCAGCAUCCCCACCAACAUGGUUUCCUCCAGAUGUUUUGAGUGACAACUUCCACCGUCCCUGUCAUGAUCCAGGGGCCAGAGGUUCAGUCCAAAGAGGGUAAAGUCUUUUAUGAAAACACUUACCCAAAAAAGUAGGGUUCAAGGUGAAGAUCAGUCUUCACAAGCCAAACACAAGCAUAGAGAAUCUGUCCAGGUCCAAAACAUAAUCCAAAAACAAGGUUAUGGGACAGUUCAAGAUCAAUCUCACAAGGAGUUCAUGAAGCAAGACAGGAAAACUAUUUUUAUUCUGUUUAUUUGUUUACUUAUUUUAUUGCGUUCAUAUCCUACUUUUUUCUUCAAGAAGGUCAUGGUGACAUACAUGGUUUCCACCCUCUUCCUCAUUUAAUCCACACAACAGUCAUUAAGGUAGAUUAGACUAGCCCAAGGUCACUCAAUGAGCUUCAUGCCCAAGUGAAGAUUUGAACCCACGUGUCCCAGGGCCAACACUCGAACCUAGCCUGUUGUUGGAUUCCAGUUCCUGUCAUCCCAAACUACUGGCCAUGCUGGCUAGAAAUGAUAGGAGUUGUAGUCCAACAACAUUUAGGGACCCAAGGUUGAGAAAGGGUGCUCUAACCACUGCACCACAUUUGGAACAAGGUGCCACAGACCUGCAUUGCCUCCAGGUACUAGGAGACUCAAGAAAGUGACCUUAUAUACUCUGGCCUAUUGGAACACUCUCUAAAUUCAGCGAUGGGCUCUUCACACACACUUUUUGCCACAGGGGUGGUCUCUCCCAGCCCUACUUGCUGGAGAGUGAACCUGGAAACUUCUUCAUGCAAGGCACAUGUUCCACCACUGCCUUUUCCAAUCUCAGGGUUGUGGGGUCGAGCCCCAUGUUGGGUGAAAGAUGGUUUGAACAUAUUUCACCAAUCCUGGCCAGAGCACACUGACUGCCAAUUAGUUUCCGGGCCCAAUUCAAAGUGCUAGUUUUGACCUCUAAAGCCUUAAAUGUCUCAGGACAGUACUUCAACGACUGCCUCUCCCCAUACGAACCUACCCAGAGCCUGAGAUCAUCCUCUGAGGCCCUUCUUCAUGUGCCUCCACGAGAGGUCCAGAGGGUGGCAACAUGAGAACAGGCCUUUUCUGUGGUGGGUCCCCAUUUGUGGAAUGCUUUCCCCAAGGAAGUUCUGCUGGUACAUUCAUUAUACACCUUUAGGCACUAGGCCAAAACAUUCCUUUUUAACCAGGCCUUUGGCUGAUUGACAUCUGAUGCCCUUUAAAAAUGUAUUUUGGAAAGGGAGGUUAUUGGGUUGUUUUGUUUUUAUUUGAUUACAUAUUUUGUGAUUUUUAUAUUGUAGUUUUAUGUUGUAAACCACCCUGAGAUAAGGGAGGCAUACAAACAAACAAACAAAUAUUGCAAGUGGUUGGACUAGAUGAUCCUCACAGUCCUUUCCAACUCUACAGAUCUGUAUUUCUCCAGUCUUUGCUGUGAGAUUAAGAAAAACAGGGCCUGAUUGGUGUAAGAACCAUGCCCUACCUUAGCUCCAGGCAAUAGAACUGCUGGGCUAUGGAACAUGCAAGCAACAUUCUGCUUGCGGCUCUGUAUUUCUUCGUUGUUACCCAGGAUCACAACCACUUCCCAGCAAUAAAAACUGGGUGGCCUGAUUUUUAUACCGUCCUGCAGCACAGCAAUUGGAUUUAAAUUAAUCUAUAUUAAGAAGCAGAAUGUGAGCUGGCUUCCCCACCCGACCCCCUUCAGAUGAGAAAUGCAUUGAGAAGGUGAAAUCCUCUUUGGGUUGUUUUUUUUUAAUUCUGUUCCUUACUGCUGGGGUCCAUUCUCAAGGGAUUUCUUGCAGAGGGAAGGCAGAGAGUUAUCUGCAGUGAGGUUUGAAAAUCAGAUAUCAUGAUAGUUCUGCUGAUGGGUGAACACACAUUAGAUGCCGUGAGUCCCCCAACACUCUCAGGAUCAGGUUUGGGUUGGCAGGAUCCAAUGGAAGAGGAGGCAGAAAUAUGGGGAGGGGGAACCUGGGUUGGAGGAGGAGGGAACUCCCCCCUUUGCCCUGUGGAAGGGGGAGCAAGGAUCUUCCCCAGGGAAGCCUGGGGAGUGCUUUGAUCAGCCAAGAUGUGGAGCUGAACAGCAAGUGGCCUGAUCAGGAGGGUGCAGGCUUGUCACCUAGAACCAGACAAUGCCUUUGCAGAUGGGAGCAGACCCACCAAUGGGAGUGCCCACCUGCAGCCAACACUUAUGAAUACCAGCUGCUGGGAAUUGCAGGUGGGCAGACAGCUGUUGUACUCUGGUCCCGCUUGCUUGUUUCCCACAGGUGUCUGCUUGGCCACUGUGAGAACUGGAUGCUGAACUUUGGAGAACGAGCGAGGUCCCAGCUAAAGAAGAAUGGCAACUGAAGCUGAUGGAAUACAGUAUGUGCAGCUUGCGGACUUAACAUAUAGAAUAAGAGAACAAGAAGAACAUACGUUUAGAGAAGAUUGGAAAAUGUUUAUUGAAUACAGUGGUACCUCUGGUUGCGAACGGGAUCCGUUCCGAAGGCCCGUUCGCAACAUGAAAAGAGUGAAACCCGCAGUGGCGCGUCUGCGCAUGCGCGGGUUGUGAUUUGCCGCUUCUGAGCAUGCACGUGAUGUCAUUUUGCACUUCUGCGCAUGAGCGAGUGGCAAAACCCGGAAGUAACCCUUUCUGGUACUUCCGGGUCGCCGUGGGACAUAACCUGAAAGAAUGUAACAUGAAGCAAACAUAACAUGAGGUAUGACUGUAUAUGGGGGGAAAUUGUGUACACUUGAAAACGUUGGCAGCAUUAAGAUAAAUUCAACAGUUUUGAUGGAUGUAAUAAUGGAAUAAAAUGUGUAAAAUAUGCAGGGUUUUACAGUUGGCAAAAUGAACCAUGGAAAGAGAAGAAGGGAAGUAACUGAUAUUUUAAGGAUGUUUAAAUGAGUAUUCUAAAUUGUAAAAUACAAAAUUUAAUAAAAAUUAUAUAUAUAUAAGUGAAUAGGAUGCUGAACUAGACGAGCCAUUGGCCUGAUUCAGUAGGCUCUUCUUAGGUUCUGGUAUUCCUACAGCACAAGAAACGUGCCACAAGUGAGCAUGCCACGCCUCAUCUUCAAAAGCAUGCCAGGAGGGGAAACCUGUGAGAGCCUCUCUGCUCCUUCUGUCCAGUUCUGAGUUCCUUGCUUUGCUCCUGAGUCGUGACUCCUGAGCAUGGCACCUGCUGCCGAUGCUGUACGGUUACUUGCGCAAAUAAAGACCCCUUUUCUGCU
This 5824-nucleotide long non-coding RNA is filed under the name Podarcis lilfordi (Lilford's wall lizard). Lineage: Eukaryota; Metazoa; Chordata; Lepidosauria; Squamata; Lacertidae. The record is from RNAcentral.